Long non-coding RNA from Bombyx mori (domestic silkworm), 1178 nucleotides. RefSeq lists it as uncharacterized. Lineage: Eukaryota; Metazoa; Arthropoda; Insecta; Lepidoptera; Bombycidae. The transcript is spliced from 2 exons. The record is from RefSeq and is a predicted model, not a curated record.
UUAUCUUUUGAAUUCAUAGAAUUCCAUACCUCUGGUCUUCUUCAGUUUUAUUGUACUUUUGUAUGAUCCUCGUCAAAUUCUUGAAGUAGUCUGGCGCGUAAACGACAAUUCUCUGCGUAUCUGGAAUCUGAAGUGAUUCAAACGUGUUAAUGAAUGAAUGAAUGAUUUAUUUUAUUUCAGACAACAAUAAGUCCAUAUGUGUACAUAGUAUCAUUGAAACAUACUUAAAAUUAACAAAACCAAUCAAAUAAAAAAGAUACAUUUCUUAAAAGUAGUUAUCAGUUGAAUACAUUUCAAAUAUUCCAUUCCACUGAUACUUACUUCGAACCAACCAUUAUUAUUAUUAUUAUUGUUUAGUCCGCAAGUGAACCAUGGUACAAUGGUUCAAGUACCGACAGUCAUAACGGUCUGUUAAUGCCUUCAGGAUGCUGUUAGGGCUGACCCGGACCCGGCCAAUCAGGGAUGUGCAUCUUUUCCGCAUGGUCGUAAAGAAACAGUCGACUCGUGCCUCGGCGAACAUUCCCGACGCGCUACAGAACCGAGGCAGCCCCAAAAACCCCCUGAACGCAUUGUUGUAUUGGACGCGUAAGGCGUUAAUGUAAAUUAUUGAUUCGAAUCAUAAAUUUCGUAUUCAUAUCUAUUUUAAUUGUCAAAGAAAUAUUAACACCCUAAACUAUUUUUUUGGGAUUGCUGGUUGUCCGGAGACCUUUCCAGUUUGAACAGGACAGGUGGACGAGCAAGGCCUCAGCCGGGAGAGGUGGGAUUAGCUGUCAACCGCCGAGCGCCUCCGUAGGAAACCUAACAAUUCAAGAGCAACAGCUUCGCGAAUGAAUCUACUACCGGAUCGGAAUCGCGACCCGCUGAGAAGAUCCGGCGAGAAACUCAGCGGGCUGGCAGCUGCUCCGCGAAUGAAUCUACUACCGCGGUCUCUAAAAUAGUAAAGGUUGGAAUCAAAUAACAAUAACAAAAAUAUAACAGAAGCAAGUUACUUGAUUAGAUUUAGUCAAUCAAAUACCACGUUAAUUAAUUUCAAACCAACUUACAACGAUGACGUGUUUGGAUGAGUUUCUGUCGUCCUCAGACACGGCCCAGUUGAAGAGGCCUCCCAGGUUGUAUCUGAAAUUGAAACAAAAUCAUAUUAUUAUAAACAGAGUAAACAAUUUAUCUUUGUUAUUAAA